AGUGAACGCUGGCGGUAGGCCUAACACAUGCAAGUCGAACGGCAGCACAGGAGAGCUUGCUCUCUAGGUGGCGAGUGGCGGACGGGUGAGGAAUACAUCGGAAUCUGCCCAGUCGUGGGGGAUAACGUAGGGAAACUUACGCUAAUACCGCAUACGACCUUCGGGUGAAAGAGGGGGAUCGCAAGACCUCUCGCGAUUGGAUGAGCCGAUGUCGGAUUAGCUAGUUAGCAGGGUAAUGGCUCACCAAGGCGACGAUCCGUAGCUGGUCUGAGAGGAUGAUCAGCCACACUGGAACUGAGACACGGUCCAGACUCCUACGGGAGGCAGCAGUGGGGAAUCUUGGACAAUGGGCGAAAGCCUGAUCCAGCCACACCGCGUGAGUGAAGAAGGUCUUCGGGUUGUAAAGCCCUUUUAUUGGGAAAGAACACUUGCAGGCUAAUCUGCUCGGAGGAUGACGGUACCCAAAGAGUAAGCCACGGCUAACUUCGUG
Molecule: ribosomal RNA, 490 nt
Filed under: uncultured bacterium
Lineage: Bacteria
Description: partial 16S ribosomal RNA
Rfam family: Bacterial small subunit ribosomal RNA
Source: RNAcentral